RNAcentral lists this transfer RNA (88 nucleotides) under Richelia sp. RM2_1_2. Its description in RNAcentral is "tRNA-Ser". It matches the Rfam family "tRNA". From Rfam's summary of the family: Transfer RNA (tRNA) molecules are approximately 80 nucleotides in length. Their secondary structure includes four short double-helical elements and three loops (D, anti-codon, and T loops). Lineage: Bacteria; Bacillati; Cyanobacteriota; Cyanophyceae; Nostocales; Nostocaceae. The record is from RNAcentral.
GGAGAGGUGACAGAGUGGACGAUUGUACUCGCUUGGAAAGCGAGCGUACCUAACGGUACCGGGAGUUCGAAUCUCCCCUUCUCCGCCA